Molecule: non-coding RNA, 223 nt
Filed under: Exiguobacterium oxidotolerans
Lineage: Bacteria; Bacillati; Bacillota; Bacilli; Caryophanales
Also listed under: 1 other name
Description: T-box
Rfam family: T-box leader
About the family: Uncharged tRNA acts as the effector for transcription antitermination of genes in the T-box leader family. T-boxes are found upstream of many aminoacyl-tRNA synthetase genes and some amino acid biosynthetic genes usually in Gram-positive bacteria.
Source: RNAcentral
UCAGAUGCAACGAACUGAAGUAGUAGUGGAGACAUUCCGUUUAGAGAACUGGUGGGUGGUGCAAACCAGUCGGAACUGUCCAUGAACUCGUCAGGGAGCAUGAUUCGUGAAAAACGAGUAGCGAAUCCGGUCCUUCACACCGUUAUCUGUGAGUCAAGCGGUCUGUCAUUGACAGACAACGUGGGUGGUACCGCGGAAGCCAAACCGGUCUUUCGUCCCUAUU